CGGGGAGCCGUAAAGCCGACCGCGAGCAGCCCCAUCCAACGGUCCACAAGAUUCAAAUUCGUCUACUUCCGCCUGCAAUCCGGAAGGUCACAGAAGAGACCUGACGUAGAGUCGGCGUUUCUGCCCGGUGACUCUUGAAAGGAUAUUCUUGUUUACGAAAUGGA
Molecule: long non-coding RNA, 164 nt
Organism: Mustela lutreola (European mink)
Lineage: Eukaryota; Metazoa; Chordata; Mammalia; Carnivora; Mustelidae
Exons: 2
Source: RefSeq, a predicted model, not a curated record